GUAGGGGGCAAGCGUUAUCCGGAUUUACUGGGUGUAAAGGGAGCGCAGACGGCACGGCAAGCCAGAUGUGAAAGCCCGGGGCUCAACCCCGGGACUCAUUUGGAACUGCUGAGCUAGAGUGUCGGAGAGGCAAGUGGAAUUCCUAGUGUAGCGGUGAAAUGCGUAGAUAUUAGGAGGAACACCAGUGGCGAAGGCGGCUUGCUGGACGAUGACUGACGUUGAGGCUCGAAAGCGUGGGGAGCAAACAGGAUUAGAUACCCUGGUAGUCCACGCCGUAAACGAUGACUGCUAGGUGUCGGGUGGCAAAGCCAUUCGGUGCCGCAGCUAACGCAAUAAGCAGUCCACCUGGGGAGUACGUUCGCUAGAAUG
This 369-nucleotide ribosomal RNA is filed under the name uncultured bacterium. RNAcentral describes it as "bacterial SSU rRNA". It matches the Rfam family "Bacterial small subunit ribosomal RNA", at positions 527 to 896 of the family's 1533-position model. The record is from RNAcentral.